This 569-nucleotide ribosomal RNA is filed under the name Rhodotorula mucilaginosa. RNAcentral describes it as "eukaryotic LSU rRNA". It matches the Rfam family "Eukaryotic large subunit ribosomal RNA", at positions 62 to 648 of the family's 3401-position model. The record is from RNAcentral. Lineage: Eukaryota; Fungi; Basidiomycota; Microbotryomycetes; Sporidiobolales; Sporidiobolaceae.
AAACUAACAAGGAUUCCCCUAGUAGCGGCGAGCGAAGCGGGAAGAGCUCAAAUUUAUAAUCUGGCACCUUCGGUGUCCGAGUUGUAAUCUCUAGAAAUGUUUUCCGCGUUGGACCGCACACAAGUCUGUUGGAAUACAGCGGCAUAGUGGUGAGACCCCCGUAUAUGGUGCGGACGCCCAGCGCUUUGUGAUACAUUUUCGAAGAGUCGAGUUGUUUGGGAAUGCAGCUCAAAUUGGGUGGUAAAUUCCAUCUAAAGCUAAAUAUUGGCGAGAGACCGAUAGCGAACAAGUACCGUGAGGGAAAGAUGAAAAGCACUUUGGAAAGAGAGUUAACAGUACGUGAAAUUGUUGGAAGGGAAACGCUUGAAGUCAGACUUGCUUGCCGAGCAAUCGGUUUGCAGGCCAGCAUCAGUUUUCCGGGAUGGAUAAUGGUAGAGAGAAGGUAGCAGUUUCGGCUGUGUUAUAGCUCUCUACUGGAUACAUCUUGGGGGACUGAGGAACGCAGUGUGCCUUUGGCGGGGUUUCGACCUCUUCACACUUAGGAUGCUGGUGGAAUGGCUUUAAACGAC